Molecule: non-coding RNA, 42 nt
Filed under: Prorocentrum micans
Lineage: Eukaryota; Dinophyceae; Prorocentrales; Prorocentraceae
Source: RNAcentral
GUUUUUUUUUUUUUUUUUUUUUUUUUUUUUUUCUCUCUUUCG